Molecule: ribosomal RNA, 402 nt
Filed under: uncultured bacterium
Lineage: Bacteria
Description: bacterial SSU rRNA
Rfam family: Bacterial small subunit ribosomal RNA
Source: RNAcentral
GGGGAUAUUGCACAAUGGGGGAAACCCUGAUGCAGCGACGCCGCGUGAGUGAAGAAGUAUUUCGGUAUGUAAAGCUCUAUCAGCAGGGAAGAAGAUGACAGUACCUGAGUAAGAAGCCCCGGCUAACUACGUGCCAGCAGCCGCGGUAAUACGUAGGGGGCAAGCGUUAUCCGGAUUUACUGGGUGUAAAGGGAGCGUAGACGGUUGUAUAAGUCUGGAGUGAAAGCCCGGGGCUCAACUCCGGGACUGCUUUUGAAACUGUGAAACUGGAGUGCAGGAGAGGUAAGCGGAAUUCCUGGUGUAGCGGUGAAAUGCGUAGAUAUCAGGAGGAACACCAGUGGCGAAGGCGGCUUACUGGACUGUAACUGACGUUGAGGCUCGAAAGCGUGGGGAGCAAACAGG